Long non-coding RNA from Tympanuchus pallidicinctus (lesser prairie-chicken), 1571 nucleotides. RefSeq lists it as uncharacterized. Lineage: Eukaryota; Metazoa; Chordata; Aves; Galliformes; Phasianidae. The record is from RefSeq and is a predicted model, not a curated record. The transcript is spliced from 3 exons.
UUUAAGAGCACCCUACUAGUAGGGAAGGAUCCCUUUCUGGAGAUCCCUCCUUUGGAGUGUUGCAGUGAGUGUAGGAUAAGGUUGGAAAACUGUUUCAGCCUUAUCCUCGGAUGCACAACUCAGAUGCACCAUGAACAGUUCUGGAACUGGAUUUCUUGGACAGAUCCCUUGACCUUCUCUUAAUAGUGAAACUACCUGCUUAACUUGGGUACCAUACAUUACAGGGAUAUCUCUCCUGCAUUUCUGUCAGGAUUUCCUUCCAUAGGGUGAACUCCCUAUUAGGUCUUUGGUUAAUUGCAACAUCAGUAGCUUGAUCUCUGGUGUGAGAUCCCAACUGAUGGGCUUUGUUGUUAUCCAGACAUGCAACUGGUGCCAGCCAGAUUCCCAGUAAUGAGAUAACCAACCUAUUAGGCUUUCACCUUCAUGUUGACUAUAAUAUUUCCCCACACCUUGGAUGUUGCUCAGGUUGAAUAAAUCUGAGUGAGUAAUAAACACACCAUCAUAACAGUGGUUGUUGAGGUUAUGUCCACACUACUUUACAAUUCAAUUAGCAAAAAUGUCAUCCAGCCUGAAGCCUAUUUCAAAGAUAAAGCUUACCUAAUCUGGAAGAAAAACUGUCAUGCAAUUCAUGAUGCUUAAGAAAGAAGAACAUGAAACAAGUGAUGUUUUGGGAUCUAUUUCUGCAUGUACUGGAUAAUGAAUCUAUUUUAGUAGAAUUCCAUAGAGUUUCAAUGUAACUUUUUCCUCUAGCUUUUUCCUCUAGCUGUUUGAUUCAUAUCUCACUGCUUUAUAGAUGGGCACUGCUUGGUGAAGUACCAUCCAAAAGCUGCUUGAAUGCAUUGGUAUGGGUUCUGAGAAGAAGCUAAUGUACAACUGGUUUGAUCACAGGGGAAAAUUAUUUCCUCUCCCCCAGCAGCAAGUCUUAUAAAGAUGCUAAUUGUACCAACAAGCAUCAGGAUUUCUGUUAGUUUUUGUUUUGGUACAUUUCCUUGUGUAAUCAUGUUGGUGAAAGAGGCACAUAGGGAUGAGUGAAGUUGCUUGUAUUUUGGGAUAUGAGGGGGGGACAGAUCUGUUUCACUUCAGAACAGAUGAAAACACUAGUUAUGUGGAACAUAACAUAAAAUCAGAAAAAAUAAAGCUUAGAUAAAGGAGAAGGGAAUGGGAGGAAGCCAGGCACAGCAAUGUGCCUCCUUUUCCCCAGUUACCUCUGCGUUGCACAAUAUCUUCACUGUUUAUCCUCCUUCUCUUUUUGAAAGAAUAGAUUGGACACUCUCUGCAUUUUUGUCAUGCUGUAAGUGUAGGGGGACUAAGGAUAUAAUUUUUUUGGUUUGGAAUUUGUGCAAUCUGACAGCAAGAUUAAUAGAGGGGACUUUAAGGAUUCCUGCUGAGCUCUUUAUUAAGCCAAUAAGCACUGAACUAAGAAAAAUUUGUACAAUGGACUGUAAUGUCUUUUGAACAGCUGUUCUGGUCUACCAUGUCAAAAUUUCACUUUUAAAAUAAUUCCUGAAGUUAGUUUCUUUUCACAAGCAAAUUAUUCAACUUGUCACUACAAAGCAAAUAAACAUAAUGUA